RNAcentral lists this ribosomal RNA (641 nucleotides) under Enterococcus faecium. Its description in RNAcentral is "bacterial SSU rRNA". It matches the Rfam family "Bacterial small subunit ribosomal RNA", at positions 202 to 831 of the family's 1533-position model. Lineage: Bacteria; Bacillati; Bacillota; Bacilli; Lactobacillales; Enterococcaceae. The record is from RNAcentral.
AAAGGCGCUUUCGGGUGUCGCUGAUGGAUGGACCCGCGGUGCAUUAGCUAGUUGGUGAGGUAACGGCUCACCAAGGCCACGAUGCAUAGCCGACCUGAGAGGGUGAUCGGCCACAUUGGGACUGAGACACGGCCCAAACUCCUACGGGAGGCAGCAGUAGGGAAUCUUCGGCAAUGGACGAAAGUCUGACCGAGCAACGCCGCGUGAGUGAAGAAGGUUUUCGGAUCGUAAAACUCUGUUGUUAGAGAAGAACAAGGAUGAGAGUAACUGUUCAUCCCUUGACGGUAUCUAACCAGAAAGCCACGGCUAACUACGUGCCAGCAGCCGCGGUAAUACGUAGGUGGCAAGCGUUGUCCGGAUUUAUUGGGCGUAAAGCGAGCGCAGGCGGUUUCUUAAGUCUGAUGUGAAAGCCCCCGGCUCAACCGGGGAGGGUCAUUGGAAACUGGGAGACUUGAGUGCAGAAGAGGAGAGUGGAAUUCCAUGUGUAGCGGUGAAAUGCGUAGAUAUAUGGAGGAACACCAGUGGCGAAGGCGGCUCUCUGGUCUGUAACUGACGCUGAGGCUCGAAAGCGUGGGGAGCAAACAGGAUUAGAUACCCUGGUAGUCCACGCCGUAAACGAUGAGUGCUAAGUGUUGGAGGGU